RNAcentral lists this transfer RNA (64 nucleotides) under Staphylinidae sp. BMNH 1274248. RNAcentral's name for it is "tRNA-Pro". Lineage: Eukaryota; Metazoa; Arthropoda; Insecta; Coleoptera; Staphylinidae. The record is from RNAcentral.
CAGAGAAUAGUUUAUUAAAAUAUUAAUUUUGGAGAUUAAAGAUAGAAAGUUAUUCUUUCUCUGA